RNAcentral lists this ribosomal RNA (442 nucleotides) under uncultured soil bacterium. RNAcentral describes it as "bacterial SSU rRNA". It matches the Rfam family "Bacterial small subunit ribosomal RNA", at positions 26 to 518 of the family's 1533-position model. The record is from RNAcentral.
AGAGCGAACGCUGGCGGCAGGCCUAACACAUGCAAGUCGAACGGAUCCUUCGGGAUUAGUGGCGGACGGGUGAGUAACACGUGGGAACGUGCCUUUUGGUUCGGAACAACUCAGGGAGACUUGAGCUAAUACCGGAUGUGCCCUUCGGGGGAAAGAUUUAUCGCCAUUAGAGCGGCCCGCGUCUGAUUAGCUUGUUGGUGAGGUAAAGGCUCACCAAGGCGACGAUCAGUAGCUGGUCUGAGAGGAUGAUCAGCCACAUUGGGACUGAGACACGGCCCAAACUCCUACGGGAGGCAGCAGUGGGGAAUCUUGCGCAAUGGGCGAAAGCCUGACGCAGCCAUGCCGCGUGAAUGAUGAAGGUCUUAGGAUUGUAAAAUUCUUUCACCGGGGACGAUAAUGACGGUACCGGAGAAGAAGCCCGCUAACUCGUGCCAGCAGCCGC